CCUACGGUUGGCAGCAGUGGGGAAUAUUGGACAAUGGGGGCAACCCUGAUCCAGCCAUGCCGCGUGUGUGAAGAAGGCCCUCGGGUUGUAAAGCACUUUCAGUGAGGAAGAACGCCUGGUGGUUAAUACCCAUCAGGAAAGACAUCACUCACAGAAGAAGCACCGGCUAACUCCGUGCCAGCAGCCGCGGUAAUACGGAGGGUGCGAGCGUUAAUCGGAAUUACUGGGCGUAAAGCGCGCGUAGGUGGCUUGAUAAGCCGGUUGUGAAAGCCCCGGGCUCAACCUGGGAACGGCAUCCGGAACUGUCAAGCUAGAGUGCAGGAGAGGAAGGUAGAAUUCCCGGUGUAGAGGUGAAAUGCGUAGAGAUCGGGAGGAAUACCAGUGGCGAAGGCGGCCUUCUGGACUGACACUGACACUGAGGUGCGAAAGCGUGGGUAGCAAACAGGAUUAGAUACCCGAGUAGUC
This 465-nucleotide ribosomal RNA is filed under the name Vreelandella stevensii. RNAcentral's name for it is "partial 16S ribosomal RNA". It matches the Rfam family "Bacterial small subunit ribosomal RNA", at positions 338 to 795 of the family's 1533-position model. Lineage: Bacteria; Pseudomonadati; Pseudomonadota; Gammaproteobacteria; Oceanospirillales; Halomonadaceae. The record is from RNAcentral.